Molecule: unclassified non-coding RNA, 2410 nt
Filed under: Hevea brasiliensis (rubber tree)
Lineage: Eukaryota; Viridiplantae; Streptophyta; Magnoliopsida; Malpighiales; Euphorbiaceae
Source: RNAcentral
CACAGGCAAGACAAGAAAAAAAGUUUCAAUAUGAUAAAAAAAAGCAAGAUACAAUCAUUCAGACUUCUCAAACUCUAACCCAAUGAGUUUCCCAAAUAUCUGAAUUCUCAAAAUAUUACAAUAUUUAUACCAGUCCAUACCGCUCAAAGAAAUCAGCGGGGAACUUCGAGCCCAAACCUAUUGGCCCAUGCCCCCUUAUUGCCAUCACAGAUUUUACUUUUUAUUCCAAUCGAGUGGCAGUGCGAAACUUUCGUGUCAGAUCACAAUUCUAGUCCAUAAAUACAAAUUCAAAAUUCAAGCCACAUAAAAAUAACAUUUAGAUAUUUGCUACCAAGAGGAAACCAUUGAUUAUGAUGAAUACUUCUACAAAGAGAAAGAUCUGCAGUAAUCUUAAACAUCCUCUCCAUCAACAGGCUUGAUGUAAAAUAUUUAUGGAAGAGCAGAGCCUACAGGAACAGGGAAGAUCCCAGCAUUAAAUAUUAGAAGUAAAACAGGAAACAUCAGAAGAAUAUUUACCCAACUGAUUUUAAUUAUAUGAUUUUGAAGACAGCUCCAUACUAAUAUACACUUCAAACUUUAAUGAAAAGGGGUUCAUUGCAUAGCUUUGAUUAUGCAAAUGUGAGCAUCGAAAUUUAUUAAAUAAAUGGCAGGAUAUUUCCAUUCCAUAUUUUGGAUGAAACCAUCACAAGGUGAAAACAACCUGCUUUGAAAAUCUAGAGAAGAAAAAAGAUGUGUUCGCAUUAUUGUACCUUCAUAGAUUCUCAACAUGAGAAAAGAAUAUUAUUCCAUAAACAUCUUCAAUCUAUGAUCUUGACCGCAAUAAACCUACCAAAUAGAAGUUUGAUAUCAAAACAUAAAGAAGGAACUAAAGAAAAAUAUUAUUUUGCUGAAACACUUGGCAUUACACUUUGUUCCCUGUUCUUGAUUAUUUAUAAUAAGGCUAACACUAAUUAUAGAUGUAAGAGGCAUGUGAAGAUGAUAAGCAUUCCAAAACAAAUCUUCCCUGGAAUCUUUGUAAUAUGAAAUAACUGAUUCCUGGUGUCUGAAAUUUAAGACAACACCAAUGCAGAAUGCUCAAUUGGAUGUUAAUUUGAGAAGUAGCAUGUGUUAAUAGUUAUAUUUAUAUAAUAUCAAAUCAUAUGCAAAUUACUACUAGAAACUUCAAUUUAACAUAACUGCAAUAAUAUAAUAGCAUGCUGAAAAUCUCAAUAUGACAAGAAAUGAUCUAAGUAAUACCUAUAUAAAAGUUAAUUCCUUGAGUUUGCUUGCCAGAUUGAACUCCAUUGCAAUCUUGCUCCAAUCUCAAUAAUGCAAGAUUUCACUCUGCAUAUCUGUUCAUGCAAGUUCCAAUCUUGCUAACCUAUCUUAAUUUAUAGGACAUCUGUGAAUGUCUGGCAUGUAUGCAAAUGAGUAGUUGUUGCAGCAUAAGCACAAUGAAGUCCCCCAAAUGGGCAGGACAUAAACCAUUGUAGAUAUUGGCAACGAACAGAGGCCAUUUCAUUCCAUCUCACGAAUGAACAGAUCUGGCUUGCUGCAGCUGGUUCUUUCUUGAGAGAUCACAUGCUCAGGAUUGGAACUAAAGCAUUCUCAUUACAGAUCAAGAUUUUUAUUUUCACAGAAUCUAGUGAAAACUUGAGUGCAUCUAAAAGGCAACUCUUUUUGUCUUCCUUGAGAAAAGCCAACAGUCAAAAUCUUAUAUCUUGCUUCUUAGCAGAACAGGAAAUGAUAAGAGUUUUCAUGAACAUCUCUCAUGGGAUAUAAGAGUAUUGCAAUAUAUUGACAACGCAAAGAAAGCAUGAAGGGUUCUUCCAGUCACACUUGAUACCACACAUUUCAUAGAUUCACUGGUUCAUUAAUCACUGAUUCUAAUGCUUGGGAUGUGAGCAAUCUUGUGCCUAUCUGCACCAGCCACAUCAUUGCGGCAUCGUUCUGACAGCUGAGGACAGUUAUCAAUCUCCAAAACUUGCAAUGCAGUGAGGUUGCCCAUCCAUUCCGGUAAGGACAUCAAAUUAGGGCAACUUUUGAUUGAGAGUUUCUGCAAAGUGGUAACAUGUUGAAGCCCCUCUGGGAGACGGGUCAACUUCUGAAAAUUUGUGAUGACAAAGUGCUGGAGGUUUCUAAGCCACUGCCACUGAGUACCACUAUCAUUCUCAUCAUCCAACAAUUGCUCCUUGCACCCUUCAAUGUUAAGAACCUGAAGGGAGGUUAAAUGUCGAAUAGCAUUAGACAGAGUUGUUAUUCUUAGGCAAUCCACAAUGACUAGAUGUCGGAGAGAAGUGAGGUUUUGCAGUAACUCCUCUGGUAGAAAUUCUAGAUCCUCUAUUUUCUCAAUUCUCAGGGUUGUCAAUCGAGAGAGAGGAGGACAUUGUGACACCGAAAUCUUGACCUUCAGUAUGUCCUCCAAUGACUU